Molecule: ribosomal RNA, 460 nt
Filed under: uncultured bacterium
Lineage: Bacteria
Description: partial 16S ribosomal RNA
Rfam family: Bacterial small subunit ribosomal RNA
Source: RNAcentral
CCUACGGGAGGCAGCAGUGAGGAAUAUUGGUCAAUGGGCGUAAGCCUGAACCAGCCAAGUCGCGUGAGGGAUGAAGGUUCUAUGGAUUGUAAACCUCUUUUAUAAGGGAAUAAAGUGUGGCACGUGUCCCGUUUUGUAUGUACCUUAUGAAUAAGGAUCGGCUAACUCCGUGCCAGCAGCCGCGGUAAUACGGAGGGUCCGAGCGUUAUCCGGAUUUAUUGGGUUUAAAGGGUGCGUAGGCGGCCUUUUAAGUCAGGGGUGAAAGGUUGUGGCUCAACCGUAGAAUUGCCGUUGAAACUGGGAGGCUUGAGUAUGUUUGAGGCAGGCGGAAUGCGUGGUGUAGCGGUGAAAUGCUUAGAUAUCACGCAGAACCCCGAUUGCGAAGGCAGCCUGCCAAGCCAUGACUGACGCUGAUGCACGAAAGCGUGGGGAUCAAACAGGAUUAGAUACCCCUGUAGUC